This is a long non-coding RNA of Homo sapiens (human), 1279 nucleotides long. RefSeq lists it as uncharacterized. NCBI's taxonomy places the organism in Eukaryota, Metazoa, Chordata, Mammalia, Primates, Hominidae. The transcript is spliced from 4 exons. The record is from RefSeq and is a predicted model, not a curated record.
AGUUGGCAUUAUUGUGUGUGGAACAGCAGCAGAGCUUACUAACAUUCUCAGCUACAAAACAAAAAAUAACGAACCAGAGACUUCAGCUCAGUUCUUGUGAUUGGAGUUGUGUUUCCUCCAGAGUGACGAGCAUGGUAUAAGACGCCUCGCCCUGCACCCCAUCACGGCUCUCCCCAGACAGCCCUGACAGAGGAUCUGUGGAAUGGGGAUAAUAAUAGGACCUAUCUGACAGGGUGGUUGGGAUCAUUGACUGAAAUAACACAUGAAAGAACUUAGCACAGUGCCUAGCAGGCAGACAGGGAGGAGUCUCAUUUUGCAUCAAGAGCUUUCCAUGGGUCAUGUUAUUUCACCCUGCACGAUGCUGUGUGGUCUCAUCACCACUGAACACACAAGACCCUGAGACUCUGAGAGGUAGACACUGCACUCUACAGCUGCGAUUCACACCUGGAUCUGCUGGCUCAAGGUCUGCACUCUUUCCACUGCACCACAGUAACCCACAUGAAUCAGCAAUGAAAAGGCAAGACGGAGUAAGGUAAUUUGGGUGGGGUUCAGGAAUCUUCAUUUAAGAAAAAUACCUCCAGUGACAGACAGAUGGCCAUCAACCACAAUUUGAGGAAAAAAAAGCCUCAAGUUCAUGCUAUUGAGCUCAACCUUUGGGAAAAAAUUCUUCUAUCCUGUGUGAAAGAAAAUGGUGUUUUUCUAAGUCCCAAGAAAACAUCCUAAAGGGAUGCAAGGAAGGAUUCGAUGGGCAUUCCUUCCAAGGCAUGAAAGGAGAGCGGAUGGCUGUGUCUUGUACUCAGCCGCCCUCCACAGAGCCUGUGGCAGACCCGGGAAUGUCCAUGUGUCUCAGAGCUGAAGUGAGGUGCAUAGGCCAAGUUCAAACCAGUGCCGCCUCCUUGCAGGGUGGUCAGAAAACACAUGGACAUUUGUCAAGAACUCUGGAGUAGCCCAUGUCUGUGGUUACACAAUGAAACAUUCUUCCCCAGCAGCAACCCCCAGAAGGCUUCCAAUAUUUCGCGCCCACACACUGAACAUGAAAUAGUGAUUCAUGGUAAGAGGAUGUGCAUAGAAAAAGCUUAGAAGUGACCCCUUCUUAUUUUGCAAAUAACAAAAGGAAACACUCCUUUAGAUCCCGUGUAAUUCAGAAGCCGAUUGGGUGGCGUGUGGGCUUUCAGAGAGAAUGAAGACAGACAUCUGGCAAGGACUUUUCUUGGUCAUAAUGACUUGCUUCUCAUUCUGCUUCCGAUGGCCUCCAAGAGGAUGCAGUUAUGGGGAGAAA